Non-coding RNA from Cordylochernes scorpioides, 6011 nucleotides. NCBI's taxonomy places the organism in Eukaryota, Metazoa, Arthropoda, Arachnida, Pseudoscorpiones, Chernetidae. The record is from the annotation of a GenBank genome assembly.
UACUAAAGAAGAAUAGAACAUGCAGCAUAACCAGCACGUACACUUUAGUCUCGUCGGCUCACCACCUUCCGCCAUGCCGGGUUGUUGCGGGCCCUCUGCUAGGAAUGGCUCUUACACUCAGCCACUUCCUGGAUGUUGUUAUGUUCGCAAUAAACAAAUAUUCGAACAUUUCGUUAAGAUUAAAUCAAAGGAUGUCUAUUUAUCGAACCGUAAUACAAAUAUGGCCUUCUUUCGCGCACGCCACCUGAUUGGUUGACACGCCGCAACCUGUUAGGUGAGGUGGGGCUUCUGCCACCAAGUUGCUUACCGAUGUCUGCAGCUGUUCUAUCACAGAUGUCAAUGGUCCUUGACAAUUGAUGCGGAAGUCGUCGGACGUGACUCUGCUAACUCCGGUAGGCUUUGUUUAUAAAACUUCUUCCUUACCUGUUAUAGGACUAACAUAUCAUAUAUAAAUAGCUUAAAUCGAAAAUAAUAUUGACUUUUGAUCGGUAAUUGCUCAACUACCUGACUUCUGACUGUCUAACUAUGCUAACUUAGCUUCAAUCCAAGGAAUUAUUGAGCGCUUAUUCUCAACCCUUGAAUGUCACUAAAAACAAAACAAUCCGCCGCUUUGUUUGCAACUAUAGCCACUAAGGUCAUAUUCCUACACUCUCCGACCUCGGCAGUACUCAUACAUCUAAUCUUUCUCUGGAGUUGUUGUGGGGCUCUGGAGUAAACAAACUCGAUGUCUCCCAGAUAUACUUCUACAUCUAUCAAGCUGCUUGAACAACCAAGCCUACUGUUCCAAAGUUUGCACUGUACUAAACUGUUGUUUAUAAACUGCAAAGUUACCUAAUAGUACUCUAGAGGGCCUGGUUCUCCUGUCGCUACUUCAAAUAAAUAAAUAAAUAAAUCAAUUAUAAAACAAAACUUUCACCCUAAACUUGGUUGACUUCCUGUGUCUAUGAGUGCUUGGAGUUCGUGGUUAUUAAUUUUUAUGUCCUUGUACAUCCAUCCUUUCUGUUGUUUCAAACAAAUAACUUUGUUUUUCAUGUGGCUUUGUUUGUACUUGUUUCACAAGAAUGUUGGCAUUACUUCUAGUUGGACACUGAUUUGCUAUGUGGCCAAAAGAAUUACAAUUGAAACAUUUUCCCCCCAAAUCUUUAAAUCUACCCUCACAUGAAAGAUGACCUCUUUUACCACAGUUGAAGCACUUUGAUUCAUUAUCAUCAAUUGGCUUUGUAAUCACUUUGCUUAUUGGGCUAUUUGUCUUAGAUUUAGAUUUCAUUACUUCCUAAUUUUUCAAUUCAAUCUUAAAGUCUGAAUAAGAUGUAGAGCCAUAUAAUAUGGACUUGUCGAAUUCUUGGUCGGGAAUUCCAUCAAUCACAUGUUGAAUUAUGAUGCUUCCUCAAGAUUGACUUGACAUCCAAGUUCUCUCACAUUUAAAAAAUAUUCAUAGUAGAUUUCGUAUUGUUGCUUUUUUCUUUUAGUUAAAAGAAUAUGAAUAUUCCUACUAUCAAUUGGGUUGUCGAAUUUAUGGCCUCUAAGGUCUGGCCAAAUUGAGAAGAUUGGUUGUGACCCCAACCAUAAUUUGGCUACUCCAGUCAUAUGCUUGUCUCAAAGAUUAAGCCAUGCAUGUCUAAGUACACGCCAUAGCAAGGCGAAACCACGAAUGACUCAUUAAAUCAGUUAUGGUUCCUUAGAUCGUACACAUUUACUUGGAUAACUGUGGUAAUUCUAGAGCUAAUCCAUGCAAUUGAGUCUAGGUAAAAAUUGAAAUUAAAAUGAUCAAAGUGAAAAUAAACACAAAAUUUAUGGGUAAUCAAGUUGUGAGCAUGAGGAGAAAGUUAUGUAGGUUUUUAAAAACUCACAGUUUUGAUGAAAGUUCAGUCAGGAGACUUGGUGUUUGUUUGUCGUCCUGCUGACGUGGAAGGUUCUCCAUGUAGGGCUUGUAGAAGCUUGUACCUUCUGUAAAGUUGAUUGCGGCAUGUCGUUUUGAGCAUUGUCUCGAUGUCAGCCCGAAGGUGGGGAACUUCCCAACGGGUUUGUGUCACUCCGAUCCUCGGUUUCUAUGUCUUACAGGAUUUUCAGCUGUGUCGUUAGGAGGGUUGACAGCUUGCUCCUGCCGUUGGCGAUCUGUGUUAGCGGGUCUGCGGAGGUAACUUGGGGCGGCGUUUCCUCCUCAAAUUUUGUCUUUUGUUGGGGGAGAGAUUGCUCGGUUGUAUCGUUGGAAUGGCGGGCUUGUUCCGCUAUCUCUGCUCUUUCUUGCUUCUAUCUGGACAGGCUUCUUACCUUCUUCGUUGUGGUCAUCCUGUCAACUUAAGCUAUGGUGUGAUAUCCUGAGGGUCUCUCGCUGUGGUGUGAAAUCCGAGAGAAUCUCUCGCUUUACUGUGUUAACCGAGAGGAACAGUCAGGAUGUGGAGAGUUUUCCAGUACCCCUCUGCACCUUGGAAGACCUUUAACAGUUAUCACAGUGCACAGGCAGUCAUUGUCGAGGCAGAGCGGAAGACACAAAAAACGAAGGGACUCAGUUGUACUAGGAAAGUUCCAUGAACAGAUAAGAGUCAAGCUAGGAUCAAGAUGGAGAUUUGAUAAAAGUUCUUACUGGCCUACAUGGUCGAUGGUAAAUAUCUCGCUUACCCUCAAUUGUGUAUGUAGACAAUUUCACGUCACCUUGUGCUUCAGCUUUUAUGAACCUUUCUUCUUCUGCAAGGUUAAUUUCAUUGUCAAUAGGAAUCUUGUUGAUAAGCCAAUCUUCUCUAGGAGACAUGUGUGAAGUGCAUCCUGAAUCAAGGUUCCAAAUGUGUGCAUCCUCCUCAGGUAGAUGUGAAGAAGAGUAGAUCAUUUCCGCUGAAGUAAACGCAUGUUCAGUGUUAGCAGAACCAUUCGCUACAUUAGCAUGUUCCCUUGAGUUAUUUUUCCAAGAUGAUGAAGACUUAGUUUGCAUAUUAUUUUGUGGAUAUUUGCAUUUUGGUUUAUUGAAGUUCGCUUUAUCUUGACGAUGCCAACAGUUUCUUGACAUGUGCCCAAAUUUUCCGCAUGUAUGACAUUUCCCUUCAAAUUUGCAUGUUCUUUGUAUCCCUCGGUCAUUUCGAGCUUUAAAAGCUUUUUCAAGGAGGAUGAGAAUCCGAGUUGAUGGAUCCUUCUAGUGUAGGAUUCUUUAAGGGUGGAAAGGAUAUUUUCAAGGUUUAACAUAACGAAUGCACCAAGGUUGCUCUGUCUGCAUCAUGCAGUUGUUAGCCGCCCAAUCAAAAGCCUGGUAUAAGGAUGCCGAGUCAGAACCAACUGUGUAGGCAGAAGAGGAUGGAGGUGGUGACAACACAAAGUCAUGUGGCGACAGGUUAAGGUCGGGUUUGGGGCUGGAAUCAGGUAUGGAAGAGGAAGGGUGUAGAGGGGUGGAGGAACUCACUCCAGGCCGGUUGCUGAGGUCGAGGUUCCCGCCGAUAGUUGGGUCCAGCAGGGAGUUGAACAUGCUGUGAAGGUCCUCCCUGCAGGAGGAGUCGGUGUCGGGAGAGGAGGAGUCUUGGGAGGAAGGAGGAGUGCCCCCUGGUGAGGAGGGGGUGGCGGGGGUGUCGACCCCGUGGGAGUGCUGCGUCUUCUACUGCAGCAUGGAGUUUUCCUGAUUAUUAUGCUUGUUUACCCAUUUACAUGGAGGCUUGCAUUUCUCUGGAAUGCAAUGUACUCCAAAGUGAACAUGACCUUUAGCCCUGAGGAGGAUUCAGUGGGGCAUUGUGAGGGUUGUUGCGAGUGUUGUGUCGGUAUGUGUGUGAAAAUGUUGUUUGUGUGGUUGGAUUCCAUGAGGCGUUGUUGGUAUGUGUGGGUGAGGUGGAUGAAUGUUCUGUCAAGGGUGGAUUUAAACUGGGUGGCACAGGAUGGGGUAAGGUUUCCAGCAAAUGGUAGGCCUAAGAAAGGGGGAGGAAGUGUGAAGGGUUGUUGGUGGGGAAAAGGUUGCUAGAAGUUGGAGUGCUAGAAUAGCUUCAUUGUGGGGGAUUGAAGUGUAGAGUGAUUCAACUUCGAAAGAUACCAUACGGCUAUUAUUAGAAAUUGAAAAGUUUCUGAUCGUUUUUGCAGCAACUGUAACAGAUGUGGGAAACUUUAUUGACAUAUGUUCCUAUUAUCGUAGGUUAAUCGAAAUUUUCACUGAAAAAGCUUCUUUAUACAAAUUCCUCGAUGGUAUUUAUGUAAGAGAACGUAGGGAUGGUUGACAAGGUUUCCUUUGUUAAUUUUCGCAAGGCAAAAUACCUAAAGAACAUAUAGAGAGUGUAUACACAAAUAUUUUCAACAAGAAUACUUUAUUUCAAAAUCCUAGCAAACAUUUAUCUGUGGGAGAGGACGUUGUGAGAAGUGACUUGGUGCCUCCUGAGAUUCCGUUUCUGGAGAAAGUUCUUGCCACAUUGAAAGCAGGUGAACAUACUUCGAACUUCCUCGUGGGUCUCCAUAUGAUUGCGAAACUUGUACUUGUCUGCCAGUACUUUCCCGCAGUGAGGGCAGCGGCGGUACUGCGUCGCUGGUACACAUCAAGUACACGCAUAUGUUAGCCGUAGUUUACAUAUGUGAUAAUAUACUCGGUAUUUCUGGUGCAUGCAGAUGUGUACUCUAGUGUGGGGAAGUAAUUUCUGGAGGGGAGAGAUGAUGGAUGAAAUAAAUUUAGUGAGGGGGUAAAGAGGAGAACCAGCCUAGGAAACAAUCGGACGUAAAGGUGUGUUUGGCUUAUGUACUUUUGGGAGGCUAUAAAAGUUUUGUAAAUUCUUUUCCUCAGCCUUUAAAUUUUCAAAAGUUUUUUUGUCUAAUUUAUGUGAACGUAUGAUUUUAUUAAGUUUUUUAUUAAAAUCAUUAGUAAAAUUAGGUGAAGGGUUUUUUGUUAAAGGUUCAUAAAUUUCCUUAUCUUGAAGUAACUCUUCUGCCUUAGUGUUGUAAUCAGUUGUGUUCAUAAUUACUGUAUUUCUUCCUUUAUCAGAGGGUGUGAUAACAUUGUCUUUAUUUUGCUUUAACGAUCUAAUGGCUUGUCUUUCUCCUUGAUUUAAAAUUAGUCUUGUUUUUUUCAUUCUAAAUUUUUAAUAAUAGGAGUAACUUCUGUUCUAAUUUUAGCUUUAUUAUUAUCUUGUAAUUGUUUUAUUGAAAUUUCUAUAGCAGCUCGAGUUUUAGGAAUAUCAAUUUUUUUUGGAAGGUAUGAAGUUUAAGCCCUUUGAUAGAAGUGUCGUAAUUUCGGGUGUAAUUGAUUGAUUAGAAAGAUUAAUAACAGUAUUUUGGUGAGAUUGGGGUUGUGUUUUUUGUUACCAAGUGUUUAAUUUUUUUUCUUCUUCUUCUUCUUUCUUAUCUUCACUUAAUCAUAUCAAGGUAUCAAGCUUGUAAAGCAUGACAACCAUCAUGAUUGGGUGAAGUAGAAUGCGUCUGCCUUUGUCAUCAAGACUGGGAGCACUACUCAGUGGAAGGCCGACUUAGCUCCAAAAGAAAUGGCCGCCUCUGACAUGAGGAACAGACGCCAUGUGCAGCUGCUCCUAACAUGGAGUACAAACGCUGUUCAUCCUGUAUCCCUGGAUUAGGAGCCCUUACAGGGUACUAUCAGCCGGGCCAGCUGAGCCCAGGUUUUUUUAGCGAGCUUGUUACUGCUCCCCUUCCUCCUUUUUCAUCCGGGCUUGGGACCGGCAAAGGCGGAGUUAUUUUUUUAUUAUUAUUAUUUUUUUAAUUGAAUGUUGCGAAUAGCAGUGGCUUUAUUUUGACAUUUGAUAUCUAAGCACUUAUAAAAUUUUUCAAAUACUUCAUCAUUUAAAAUUCCUUUUAGUUUAGGAAUUAUAAUGACAAUUUUUUAUUCUAGCAUUUAAAAGUUUCUUACCCGUUUCAAAUAAUGUUUUUCUAGAAUAAUUUGUGCGGACAGAUUCUUUUAAAAUUAAAGAAGGUGGAAUUAUGCUUGCGGCGAGACACUGGUGAUUAAAAUGUAAGUGUAAUUUCCAAUUGUUAAUAGAAAGUCUAAGCCUUUCCAUUGUUCUGGCUAGGCGAAGCGCGUCGGUAUGUGUGUGAAAAUGUUGUUUGUG